AGAGUUUGAUCCUGGCUCAGAUUGAACGCUGGCGGCAGGCCUAACACAUGCAAGUCGAGCGGCAGCACGGGUACUUGUACCUGGUGGCGAGCGGCGGACGGGGUGAGUAAUGCCUAGGAAUCUGCCUGGUAGUGGGGGGAUAACGUUCGGAAACGAACGCUAAUACCGCAUACGUCCUACGGGAGAAAGCAGGGGACCUUCGGGCCUUGCGCUAUCAGAUGAGCCUAGGUCGGAUUAGCUAGUUGGUGAGGUAAUGGCUCACCAAGGCGACGAUCCGUAACUGGUCUGAGAGGAUGAUCAGUCACACUGGAACUGAGACACGGUCCAGACUCCUACGGGAGGCAGCAGUGGGGAAUAUUGGACAAUGGGCGAAAGCCUGAUCCAGCCAUGCCGCGUGUGUGAAGAAGGUCUUCGGAUUGUAAAGCACUUUAAGUUGGGAGGAAGGGCAUUUACCUAAUACGUAAGUGUUUUGACGUUACCGACAGAAUAAGCACCGGCUAACUCUGUGCCAGCAGCCGCGGUAAUACAGAGGGUGCAAGCGUUAAUCGGAAUUACUGGGCGUAAAGCGCGCGUAGGUGGUUCGUUAAGUUGGAUGUGAAAUCCCGGGGCUCAACCUGGGAACUGCAUCCAAAACUGGCGAGCUAGAGUAUGGUAGAGGGUGGUGGAAUUUCCUGUGUAGCGGUGAAAUGCGUAGAUAUAGGAAGGAACACCAGUGGCGAAGGCGACCACCUGGACUGAUACUGACACUGAGGUGCGAAAGCGUGGGGAGCAAACAGGAUUAGAUACCCUAGUAGUCC
RNAcentral lists this ribosomal RNA (797 nucleotides) under uncultured bacterium. Its description in RNAcentral is "bacterial SSU rRNA". It matches the Rfam family "Bacterial small subunit ribosomal RNA", at positions 8 to 796 of the family's 1533-position model. The record is from RNAcentral.